AUUGAACGCUGGCGGCAGGCCUAACACAUGCAAGUCGAGCGGAUGAAGGGAGCUUGCUCCUGGAUUCAGCGGCGGACGGGUGAGUAAUGCCUAGGAAUCUGCCUGGUAGUGGGGGAUAACGUCCGGAAACGGGCGCUAAUACCGCAUACGUCCUGAGGGAGAAAGUGGGGGAUCUUCGGACCUCACGCUAUCAGAUGAGCCUAGGUCGGAUUAGCUAGUUGGUGGGGUAAAGGCCUACCGAGGCGACGAUCCGUAACUGGUCUGAGAGGAUGAUCAGUCACACUGGAACUGAGACACGGUCCAGACUCCUACGGGAGGCAGCAGUGGGGAAUAUUGGACAAUGGGCGAAAGCCUGAUCCAGCCAUGCCGCGUGUGUGAAGAAGGUCUUCGGGUUGUAAAGCACUUUAAGUUGGGAGGAAGGGCAGUAAGUUAAUACCUUGCUGUUUUGACGUUACCAACAGAAUAAGCACCGGCUAACUUCGUG
This 484-nucleotide ribosomal RNA is filed under the name uncultured bacterium. RNAcentral describes it as "partial 16S ribosomal RNA". It matches the Rfam family "Bacterial small subunit ribosomal RNA", at positions 30 to 507 of the family's 1533-position model. The record is from RNAcentral.